GAUCCCUUCAGCAGCACAUACAUCGAAAUUGGAAUGAUACAGAGAAGAUUAGCAUGGUCUCUGCGCAGGAUGGCAUGCAAAUUCAUGAAGCAUUCCAUGUUUUU
Molecule: non-coding RNA, 104 nt
Organism: Mesocricetus auratus (golden hamster)
Lineage: Eukaryota; Metazoa; Chordata; Mammalia; Rodentia; Cricetidae
Source: Rfam